This 471-nucleotide long non-coding RNA is filed under the name Setaria viridis. RNAcentral's name for it is "long non-coding RNA (SVIR_LNC003220)". The record is from RNAcentral. Lineage: Eukaryota; Viridiplantae; Streptophyta; Magnoliopsida; Poales; Poaceae.
UCAAAUCGAGUGAUUUAGACUCACAUCUUCAUCCUUCAUUAUCAAUCGAUGCCCAAUAGAAGUUAUGUUUCUAAUUCUUAUUAAAUUAACUUCUAUUGGAAGCUUAGGUUGAAUUGCUUUGCCUCCAUGUUCAUCUUCAAUGAAAGCAAGGCCUUCCACCUUAGGAGGGGAUGAGUUGAAAGAAACCCAUGUCCCUCGUCACCCUCCCUCAGAUGAUUCUGUUUGACCCACAGAGUUGCAUUCCCACAUCACUAAGGGUCAUGGACAUUGAGCUAUCCUUACCGGAGAUCAUGUUACCCACUCCGUUAGCAUGAAAGUUUAUCUUGUUCAUCACAAGAAUCAUGCUCAUCCUCUUCGAAAUCCGUCGUCCGUUGUGCCAAGGCACUAUGAGUCGUACAGCCAUCUUCUGGCACCCUUUUACAGAAGCUAGAAUAAACGGUUGUUCAUGCUUGUGUUUAUCAUAAAUAUUGC